This 685-nucleotide long non-coding RNA is filed under the name Physcomitrium patens. RNAcentral's name for it is "long non-coding RNA (PPAT_LNC009015)". Lineage: Eukaryota; Viridiplantae; Streptophyta; Bryopsida; Funariales; Funariaceae. The record is from RNAcentral.
AAGAUUUUGGCAUAUUUUAAUUUUUUUUUAUGAAAAAUUUCGUAAACCUUCAAUUAGCUAUAAAGUAAAAAUGCAUCUCUUUUCACCAAAUUAUGGAUAAAUUUAUAUUUCUUUUGUAUGAAGUUGUGACAUUGUUAAGAAUAGAUAGUAUAAUUAUCAAGUAAAGUUACUACAAAACAUAAGUUGGUUCUUCUUCCUUUAGAAUUCUGAAAUUAAAAUAUUAAAUAUUGAAUAUUAAACAAUCAAAAAUGUUUUAGAAUAUUUUUAUAGAUCUCAAAUGUAAGGAUUUUCUACUUAACAGAAUCUUGAAAUAAGCUUUCAGAAAAGCCCAAAUAAGCUUUCAGAAAAAUAACAAAAUUAUAUAAUAAAAAAACCAGUGUUCAAAUUUGCUACACCCAUUAUAAAAAUAAAAAUAAAAGCAUUUGAAGAAGGGCAAGGUGACAAAAAUAAUAAUAACAAUAAUAAUUAUAAUGACUCCAAUCCUCAAACUCUUACAACCCAAUGCUUGCUUGCAAUUUGUGGCAGUGUCUGUAAAUGGGGAAUUCAUGACUUGGUUUACAAAGCAGUUCCUUGAUUCCAGACUUUGAAACCCACACUUCCAUAUGACCAGUUCCUUUGAUCAUGUGUUUCAAUUGCACACGUUUUGGAUUUGUACUGUAUACUCUCCUCUUUGUUGCAUGUGUGG